AAUCAACGCUGGCGGCGUGCCUCAGACAUACAAGUCGAACGCGAAAGUUUCCGUUCGGGGAACAAGUAGAGUGGCGCACGGGUGAGUAACACGUAGGUAAUCUACCUUUGGAUGGGGAAUAACAACCGGAAACGGUUGCUAAUACCGCAUAAUGCAGCGGCACCUAAUGGUGACAGUUGUUAAAGCGGGGGAUCGAAAGACCUCGCGUCUAAAGAGGAGCCUGCGGCGGAUUAGCUAGUU
RNAcentral lists this ribosomal RNA (240 nucleotides) under uncultured bacterium. Its description in RNAcentral is "partial 16S ribosomal RNA". It matches the Rfam family "Bacterial small subunit ribosomal RNA", at positions 32 to 250 of the family's 1533-position model. The record is from RNAcentral.